Molecule: long non-coding RNA, 211 nt
Filed under: Bos indicus x Bos taurus (hybrid cattle)
Lineage: Eukaryota; Metazoa; Chordata; Mammalia; Artiodactyla; Bovidae
Description: lncRNA (ENSBIXG00005030984.1)
Source: RNAcentral
CAACAACACAGCCCAGGCCUGGAGAAGCUCUCUAUGUGAUGAAAUAAUCAGAGGAACAGUGACGUUUCCCAGGUGAACUUGGGUCUUGUGUGUAAUUGUUGGAGUUUCCUCCCACAUCCAUGAACUUUCUUCUAGAAAAUGGCAACGCAAACCUCUAUUUGGCACCCCAGGGCUUUGUUUUUCUUAUAUUGAGGCUUCCUCUGUGAGUUGA